This 1716-nucleotide long non-coding RNA is filed under the name Lathyrus oleraceus (garden pea). Its description in RNAcentral is "Pisum sativum (pea) long non-coding RNA (PSAT_LNC038630)". Lineage: Eukaryota; Viridiplantae; Streptophyta; Magnoliopsida; Fabales; Fabaceae. The record is from RNAcentral.
AAUACUAGGUCAUUGAUAAAUGACAAGUUUUUUAGGCUAUGAUACAUGGGAGUAUCUCUAGGCCCUAAUUUUCUCGAUGAUAUGUGUGACGUGCCAUGCCUAUUUAGCCUCUGGGUUUUAGGAGAAUUUAUAUUGUUUGGUCCUGUAUGAGGAAACUCUAACUCCCUCAGGCGAGAGUUAAAUAGCCUGGGAAAUCUAAGUCCCUUAUGCAAAGUUAUGCAAAGUUAUAUGUAAUUAAAAACCAUUUCAUCUACCCCAUAGUUGAAAGAGAUAUUUUGAUACUCAUAUUGAUUAACAAAAAAAAUUAAUAACAAAUGAAAUUUUCAUAUAAGAUUGCAACGAAGAGAUGACUAACACCAACUAAACUGUCAAAUUCUGUCGCCAAAUGUUUCAAUUUUGAAAAACUAUGAUUCUCUAAAUAUCUCUCUUGUUGCUAAGUAUUUAUGUAACUUUACAUAACAUAUACACUUAUUUAAAUAGAAACGUCAUAAUGGGUUUUUAGGUUGAUAAAAAUAGUUAAAAGAGGCCAAUUUUAGUCUGCAGCGCAUGGCGUAGAUGUAAUAUGCUCCCAAAUUCUCACGCGUCGACCUUCGAAUUAUUAAAAAGAAAAAACAAUUUACAUCAAUAUGCCUGCACCGCACGUGACCACCUCAUCGAGGUGCCAAGUCUCAAUGCAGUAAAGUGUUAUUUUGAAUUUAUAUUUUUGGACUUCUAAUGGUAUUUACUUACUUGCUCCAUAAUAACUUCUUGAAUAUGCGUACGUCUCGAAUCGAUAAUCUAAAAUGUGAGAUUAAAAAUAGAACAAAUACUAUAAAAAUUUAAUAAUAAUAUAUAUAAUAUGACUCAUGUGAAGAGGUAUUAUGAAAGAGCGUUAUUCAAAUAAUAUGAAAAGAUGUUAUUCAAAUAAUAUAAAAAGAUGUUAUUCAAAUAAUAUGAAGGGGUGUUAUUCAAAUAAUAUGAAGUGGUGUUAUUUAAAUAAUAUGUGAAAUGGUAUUAGUCAAAUAAAGUGAUUAGGUAUCAUUCAAAUAAAGUGAAAAUGUAUUAUUGUGAAUGAGCAUGAAUAACAUCUAUAAAGAAAAGGGUUAUUAUAAAGGGUUAUGAAUAAUAUCUAUAAAUAGUGAUGGCAUGAUGAGAGUCAUAACACGAUAAUUGAACAAAUGAUUAUAUUCCUUCCAUAAUAAUUUCUCUACAAAAUAGCCAUCAAGAAAGGGUUUUGAGAAACAAUAAAUGGGAAAAGGAUAGAUUGGGUGUUGAUUACAAUCGUCUUUAAUCAUCAUAAAAUAAAGUAUACAUUUUAAUGUAUUUAUGUUUGUGAGAAUCAUAUAUUCUAAGAUCCAUAUAACGAUGCUAGUUUCUUAAUGAAUUUGUAGUAUGAAUGAAAUAUAACUUACAUGCGGUAUCAGAGAAUUAGGUUGUAGAACUACGUGAUUGACUAUGAACGUUAUUUUUUCCCCUCAAAUUUAUUAUGAACUUUAAUAAUAAAAUUUAGAAUUUUGAAAAUUAUGUUUUCCGCUGUAUAUGUUAUGAUUGAUUUUUAAUUAAAGCAUUCUCUAACAUUUAUUCAAUUUCAUGUAAUGUCUUCCGUGUAUAUAUACAUUAUUUUAUUUUUAAGGACAAUUGUGUAUUUUGUCUAUUGUAUGUUUUGUCUAUGAUUAUAUAAAUUAAAUAUUAUGAAAGUUUGUUAAUCACCAAAGUGGUCAAACUUAUAAGUUUAUU